Molecule: ribosomal RNA, 493 nt
Filed under: uncultured bacterium
Lineage: Bacteria
Description: partial 16S ribosomal RNA
Rfam family: Bacterial small subunit ribosomal RNA
Source: RNAcentral
GACGAACGCUGGCGGCGUGCCUAACACAUGCAAGUUGAGCGACGAACCAGGGCUUGCCCUGGGGCAAAGCAGCGAACGGGUGAGUAACACGUGGGUAACCUACCCCGAUAACCGGGACAACCCGAGGAAACUCGGGCUAAUACCGGAUGUGCUCACUGGACUUCGGUUCAGUGCGUAAAGGAAGCUUCGGCCUCCGUAUCGGGAGGGGCCCUCGGCCUAUUAGUUUGUUGGUGGGGUAACGGCUCACCAAGACCGCGAUGGGUAGCUGGUCUGAGAGGACGAUCAGCCACACUGGGACUGAGACACGGCCCAGACUCCUACGGGAGGCAGCAGUGGGGAAUCUUGCGCAAUGCGCGAAAGCGUGACGCAGCAACGCCGCGUGGGGGAAGAAGGCCUUCGGGUUGUAAACCCCUUUCAGGAGGGACGAAGGUUCGGCGGUGAAUAGCCGUCCGGACUGACGGUACCUCCACAAGAAGCCCCGGCUAACUACGUG